AGUGCCCUUAUGAAGAAAUUAUGAAAGCUUACUCUCUAGCUUGCUCUCUCUCUCUCUCUGCCUGCUACAGGAGGAUACCCCAAGAAGACAGCUGUCUGCAAACCAGGAAGAAGCCCUUUACUAGACACUGGAUCUGCUGGUGCCUUGAGCUUGAACUUCCUAGCCUAAAACUAGAAGAUCAGAAUAUCAGCCAUGGCUGUGAGUGAAGUGAUGGGGUCUAGCUUUUAGAGAGGAGGAACAGAAAAUGAGGUAAGUGCAAAAUACAGUCAUGGCACAGAGGAGGGAAUAUUUGAACCGGGUUUCAGAGGUGGAAGGAAGGUAUCAGUCAUUCAGGGGAAAAGAAUAUUAAAGGAAGAGAUUUGAUUUUCUCUUUUCACCAGAAUUCCCAGAUAGAUUUAAAAUUAAUUGUACAAAAAAUAAGAAAACUAAAAUAGAAGAAAAUACAAAUGUACAUUGAAUUGGGGUUCUCCAGAGAAACAGAACCAGAAGGUUAUUUAUUUAUUUAUGUUGAAGAAUUGGUUCAGGCAAUUAUAGAGGCUGAGAAAUCUCAAAAUCUGCAGUCAGCAAGCUGGAGACCCAGGAGACUUAAGGGUAUAGCUCCAGUCUAAGUCUGAAGGCAAGAGAAGACCUAUAUUCCAGCUUGAAGACAGUCAGAAAGAAAGAACAACUUCUUACUCGACCAUUUGUUCUAUUCAGGCUUUCAGAGGAUUGGGUGAGAAUGCUAACAUUGGAAAGGGUAAUCUGCUUUACUCAAAUGUUAAUUUCAUUCAGAAACAAACUAGCAGAUAGACCCAAAAUCGUGUUUAAUCAAAUAUCUGGGCACCCCAUGGCUAGUCAAGCUGACACACAAAGGUAAUCAUCACAUACAUUAAACUCAUUUGAAAUGGCCAUGAACUUUCUAAGCAUAAAUUCAAUGAAAGAAAACUCAGAACAUAUUUCAACCACAUAAAAAUACAAUCUUUUUUGUAUGUUUAUGUGGUUGAAGUAGUGUUCUCCAAACACCAUAAAAAACAUAAAUAUUAAUUGUCAAAUGUGGAAAAAUGCAAUAUAUAUGGCAAAGCAUAGAUAUCUUCACUAUAUAAAUUUUAUAAAACAUCAGGAAAAACACAGAUACCUCAAUAGAAAACAAGAAAGAAAGUUAACUUAUAGAAAAAGAAGUUCAAAUAUGAUUUCCCACAGUAGAAAUAAAUGAAACAUGAGUUAAACACAAAUUUUGUCAAUUUGGCAAAUUUUAAUAGCAUCAUUAUUAGUGUUAGUAAGAUUAUAAACAAAGUUCUAUGCCGCACGUGCCACGUGUGGGAGUUAAUUUUGUACAGUUUGUUAAAUUAGCAAUUUGUCCUCUUAGGUUCAAUUCAAGUUUAAAAUUUUUGUUAAAAAAUUCAGAGAAAUAUGUAAAAUAAUGAAAAUUAAAACACCCAAAAUGUCUGACAACACAGGAUCUGUUAAGUAAGCCAGUUACCUCUAAGAGAAAAGAAUAUUAGAUAACUCUUGCAAGAUGUAUUUUGGUAACUAUUUACUGCAUGGGAAAAGUCUCCAGAGAAACAAUUAAGUAGAAAAACAGAGGGGAAAAAACUAUAUUUUUGUAAAAGACACACACAGAAACACAACAAAGCACUGAAAGGACCUCACUGAAACAAGAGUAAGUUUACGAGGGAUUUUAAUAUUCUUCCAUAUAUUCUAUAUUUUUAACUUUUAUAAUCAUGAAUUUAAUAUUUUGAAGUUUAACUUUUAAAUAAAGUCAAUAUGCAUACUGAAAAAUGAACAAAUCACAAAUGAACAGCUGGGUGAAAUUUUAUAAACUUGAACACAUUCUUGUAACUACUCCCCAGACAAAGAAAUAGCUCACUAUUUGCAUUCUCCCGGUAUCUAUCUUGGGAUAGCUAUUUUUACUUACUUUUACCUGAUUCUGAAGUCUGUGUAAGUGGAACACAUAGUAUCUCACUCAUUAUGUUUGACUUCUUUUGCUUUAGUUUUUGCUUGUGAGGUUCAUUCUUCUUGUGGGCAGCAGUAUUUUGUUUUGUCUCUCAUUAUUAUAUAAUGUUCCUUGCAUAAAUAUACCACUAUUAAUUUAUUUUUUUCCAUUAUUGAUAGGGGUUUUGGCUAUAUUUUUCAAUGUGUCUUUUGGGUGAACAUAAAUACACAAUUUUUUUUUGACAUAUACCUUGAAGUGAAUUUACUGGUGUAUCAAUCCAUUUGCACACUACUAAAAAGAACUGCCUGAGACUGGGUAAUUUACAAAGGAAAGAGGUUUAAUUUAUGACUCAAAGUUUAGCAUGGCUGGGGAGGCCUCAGGAAACUUACAAUCAUGGCAGAAGGUGAAAGGUAGCAAGGCAACUUUCUCACAAGGCGGAAGGAAGGAGAAGUGCCAAGCAAAGGGGGAAGAGGCCCUUAUAAAACUAUCAGAUCCUGUGAGAACUAUCAUGAAAACAGCAUGUGGGAAACUGUCCUCAUGAUUCAAUUACCUCCCAUCUACUCCAAUGUUCUCUCUCUUGGCAUGUGGGGAUUCUCAGGAUUACAAUUCAAGAUGAGAUUUGGGUGGGGAUACAAAGCUUAACUACAUCAACUGGAUUGUUGCCAUUUGUCUGUUUAGGUUUAUUAGAUACUACCAAACCAUUUUCCAAAGUGGUUGCACCAAUUUUUACCCUUGCUGGUAGUGUAUAAAAUGUCUAAUGGCUCCAUAUUCCCACCAACUUCAGUAAUGUCUGUUGAUUUCUUUGUUUUGUUUUGUUCAGUUAAGCAAUUCUGGUGGGUGUGUAUUGAAGUUAUUGUGAUUUUAAUUGACGUCUAAUAGAAUUAAGCACCUUUUCAUAUAUUAUUGGUCUUUUUUCCUCUUUUAAGAAAUACCGCCCAGAUUGCAUUCUCUUCCUCUUCCUCUCCCAAAGAAAGAGAAAAAUUAUCAGCAAUGGCAAAUGGCAGUUGCAGCAAAGCAAUGCCAAGAGCCAGCUUCAUGCUCAGGAGAGAACAAUAUUGUGCCUCCUCAUGGUUUUCCAGUUUUUAGGCAUUCAGAGAAACUUCUCUCAUAAUGAUCCCUGAAAGAAUAGUCUUUGGAUAUCUACUAUUGGAAUUCCUCUGUUUUUAUUCUAUUAAUAUGUAGUAAUUACUUAUAUAUACAGGUUAUGAAUCCUAUAUUAAAUAUCUUUAUUGCAAAUAUCUUCUUCUAGGUAGUUUUCUUCUUGGCUCAUAGUGAUGCUUUAUUUGUG
Molecule: long non-coding RNA, 3200 nt
Filed under: Callithrix jacchus (white-tufted-ear marmoset)
Lineage: Eukaryota; Metazoa; Chordata; Mammalia; Primates; Cebidae
Description: lncRNA (ENSCJAG00000085347.1)
Source: RNAcentral